GGUGGAGGCGGAUGAGGAGCUGCGGCCGCUGCGCUAGUCAGGGUCCUCGGAGCUCGAGCACCGGAAGGGGCAGGUGAUGCGAGAAGGAAGCAGCCGUUCCUCCCAAGGCGCUUGGAAGGGGCCGUGCACGGCCCCCGCGUGCUGUCCCAGCCCAGACGGUGGGCGUGGGGAGGAAGAGGAAGGGCGUCACCGGCACGCAGGCCCCUGCCGAGCUGGCCAAGAGGAACGGAGGCCGCAGAUGGUGAUGGCCACAGAGGACGGAGGGAGCUCGGCUGGCUGCGGGAAUCGUCUCUUUCUAGCGCCCUGCACCUUUGUCAGGAGCACGGGUGGAGCCGGAAACAGCAUGGCCGACCUGGCGCGGUGGAAGUGUGCUGAGGCAAGGGCCUUAAGCUCUUCUGAUGAGCCAGGCAUGGUGGUGCCUGCAAUCCCAGCACUCGGGAGGCUGAAGCAGGAGGAUCGCCACUAGUUCGAGGCCAGCCUGGGCUACAUAGUGAGACCCUGUCUCAAACAAACAAAAAUGGCAAAGAGCAAAACAACACAACUGUUGUGAUGGGGCAUCACUACUGGGAGAGGCCCAGCCUGGGCUCAGAGCAACCCCGCAGGAGUCAGGCCCCGGGUGGGUUUUCAGUAAAAUCACAAAGCGCUCACACUGUGGGUGUGUACCAGCCACUGAGCGCGUUCCCUCUAAGGAACUGCAGAAUACUCACUCAAGCUGCCCCAUGUCCUCGAGAAAAUAGCUCACCCGGCCCUGGGAACCUGCGUUUGACAUUUCCUUAUACUUUUUUAAAGAGUAAAAUUUAUCAGGAAGGCAAUUUUGUUCUCUCUUGGUUUUUAAAUUCA
This is a non-coding RNA of Heterocephalus glaber (naked mole-rat), 840 nucleotides long. NCBI's taxonomy places the organism in Eukaryota, Metazoa, Chordata, Mammalia, Rodentia, Bathyergidae. The record is from RefSeq and is a predicted model, not a curated record.